AGUGAACGCUGGCGGUAGGCCUAACACAUGCAAGUCGAACGGCAGCACAGAGGAGCUUGCUCCUUGGGUGGCGAGUGGCGGACGGGUGAGGAAUACAUCGGAAUCUACUCUGUCGUGGGGGAUAACGUAGGGAAACUUACGCUAAUACCGCAUACGACCUACGGGUGAAAGCAGGGGAUCUUCGGACCUUGCGCGAUUGAUAGAGCCGAUGUCGGAUUAGCUAGUUGGCGGGGUAAAGGCCCACCAAGGCGACGAUCCGUAGCUGGUCUGAGAGGAUGAUCAGCCACACUGGAACUGAGACACGGUCCAGACUCCUACGGGAGGCAGCAGUGGGGAAUAUUGGACAAUGGGCGCAAGCCUGAUCCAGCCAUACCGCGUGGGUGAAGAAGGCCUUCGGGUUGUAAAGCCCUUUUGUUGGGAAAGAAAUCCAUCUGGUUAAUACCCGGGUGGGAUGACGGUACCCAAGGAAUAAGCACCGGCUAACUUCGUGCCAGCAGCCGCCGUAA
This 506-nucleotide ribosomal RNA is filed under the name uncultured bacterium. RNAcentral describes it as "partial 16S ribosomal RNA". It matches the Rfam family "Bacterial small subunit ribosomal RNA", at positions 29 to 523 of the family's 1533-position model. The record is from RNAcentral.